Molecule: long non-coding RNA, 484 nt
Filed under: Salvia miltiorrhiza (redroot sage)
Lineage: Eukaryota; Viridiplantae; Streptophyta; Magnoliopsida; Lamiales; Lamiaceae
Description: long non-coding RNA (SMIL_LNC000281)
Source: RNAcentral
CCAGAACGCGGUUUUAAAGCCCAUGUUAGAUUUAGGUUCCCACCUAAGUCUUCUUAUUGUUUCCUCUCAUGUCUUUUUGUUUGUUUUGAGUUUCUUUUUUCUCUUAUUUUUCUUUUUUGUUUUGAGUCUGUUGGUGGUCCUCUUUGCCCUAACACUUUGCCUAAGGUCAAAAAUAUGUGAGUGGGGAAGGUCGAUUGUUGUAUUUAUGUUUGUAUGUUUUUUUUAUGUUUUUUAUUUUAGUUUUGAUUUGUGUCUGCCUCAUUUCUGACUCACUUUACCCAAGACAAGGUGUGUGAGUGGGGAAGCAUUUCGUGUAGUUUUUGUGAGUUCGUCGGUUUGAGAGCUCAACAUUAAAACACUUUGCCUCGAGCGAAGUGUGUAAGUGUGAUGGCCUGUACGCUUUUUAUUUUUACUUUUGUCAUUUUGGUCUAGCCAGCAUGAGAAAUGAUGAGUUGAUUGAUCAUGAUAGAUGAAUUUGUUGCUA